This 561-nucleotide long non-coding RNA is filed under the name Malus domestica (apple). RNAcentral describes it as "long non-coding RNA (MDOM_LNC009833)". The record is from RNAcentral. Lineage: Eukaryota; Viridiplantae; Streptophyta; Magnoliopsida; Rosales; Rosaceae.
AGGUUACUCCUUGCUCCGGGAUGAGCGAUCCUUGCGUUGCCCGCCAAGAAUACGAGAAAUCUGCAAGCCUCUGCUGAAUGCUUGGUUGAAGAGCAUACGAGUCUGGAAUUCAGAAACAAAAGGAAACCAGGCCAAGAAUGCAACCGGGGUGAAUAGAAGCAGGCCCAUAACUAUCUCAAAGCCGCGAGCAAGAGUCCGAACCGAUGGCCAUAAACCAGCCUUGUGCACGACAGGCUUGCAAGCUUGUGCAAUCUGACAAGAGACGGGGAGCACAAAAUCGCGUUAGGAAAUUCAAGGACAAAGAGAUGCACAAGAGCACUGUCGCUAUAUCGGGAGUGGAUACAUAUAGUGAAUUAAAUUAAGGCAAGACGGGAGCAUUCACUCACCAGAAGCAUUCCCCAGCCAGUUGGCAUGAAAGCAAGAAUGCAGACGAGGAUAUCCUGCAGGGUCAUGUGAGGCAGCACAAUCAAAGUGACCAAAAUGGACACAAAAGUUAUGAAUAUCAGUCCCUUGAUCAGCCGGAACACAAGUUGGAAUUCUGCGCUGAACUUUCGCCUCCCA